RNAcentral lists this ribosomal RNA (253 nucleotides) under uncultured bacterium. RNAcentral's name for it is "partial 16S ribosomal RNA". It matches the Rfam family "Bacterial small subunit ribosomal RNA", at positions 524 to 776 of the family's 1533-position model. The record is from RNAcentral.
UACGUAGGUGGCGAGCGUUGUCCGGAUUUACUGGGUGUAAAGGGCGUGUAGGCGGGAGAGUAAGUCAGAUGUGAAAUUCCACGGCUCAACUGUGGCGCUGCAUCUGAAACUAUUCUUCUUGAGUGCUGGAGAGGGAAGCGGAGUUCCUAGUGUAGCGGUGAAAUGCGUAGAUAUUAGGAGGAACACCAGUGGCGAAGGCGGCUUUCUGGACAGUAACUGACGCUGAGGCGCGAAAGCGUGGGGAGCAAACAGG